CACGUAGGGGGCAAGCGUUGUCCGGAUUUAUUGGGCGUAAAGAGCUCGUAGGCGGUUCGGUAAGUCGGGUGUGAAAACUCAGGGCUCAACCCUGAGACGCCACUCGAUACUGCUGUGACUAGAGUCCGGUAGGGGAGCAUGGAAUUCCUGGUGUAGCGGUGAAAUGCGCAGAUAUCAGGAGGAACACCAGUGGCGAAGGCGGUGCUCUGGGCCGGAACUGACGCUGAGGCGCGAAAGCCAGGGGAGCGAACGGG
This 254-nucleotide ribosomal RNA is filed under the name uncultured bacterium. Its description in RNAcentral is "partial 16S ribosomal RNA". It matches the Rfam family "Bacterial small subunit ribosomal RNA", at positions 524 to 776 of the family's 1533-position model. The record is from RNAcentral.